Molecule: ribosomal RNA, 282 nt
Filed under: Acinetobacter sp. PL1.2
Lineage: Bacteria; Pseudomonadati; Pseudomonadota; Gammaproteobacteria; Moraxellales; Moraxellaceae
Description: partial 16S ribosomal RNA
Rfam family: Bacterial small subunit ribosomal RNA
Source: RNAcentral
GUGCUUGCUCCGGACCUAGCGGCGGACGGGUGAGUAAUGCUUAGGAAUCUGCCUAUUAGUGGGGGACAACAUNCNCNAANGGGAUGCUAAUACCGCAUACGUCCUACGGGAGAAAGCAGGGGAUCUUCGGACCUUGCGCUAAUAGAUGAGCCUAAGUCGGAUUAGCUAGUUGGUGGGGUAAAGGCCUACCAAGGCGACGAUCUGUAGCGGGUCUGAGAGGAUGAUCCGCCACACUGGGACUGAGACACGGCCCAGACUCCUACGGGAGGCAGCAGUGGUCUA